UCGAGUUGAUCCUGCUCGAGGUUACUGCUAUUGGGGUCUGCUUAAGACAUGCAUGUUCAGGACACGGCAAGGUCCUGGCGACUAGCUCAGUAACACGUGGACAAUCUGCCUUAGGGAGGGGCAUAACCUCGGGAAACUGAGGACAAUACCCCAUAGACAACAUGUUCUGGAAUGACUGUUGUCAAAAUGCAAAGACUAUUGCCGUCGGCGCGCCCUAAGAUGAGUCUGCGGCGGAUUAGGUUGACGGCGGGGUAACAGCCCACCGUGCCAGUGAUCUGUAUCGGCCCUGAGAGGGGGAGCCGGGAGAUGGACACUGAGACAAAGGUCCAGGCUCUAAGGAGCGCAGCAGUCGCGAACCCUUCGCAAUGCGCGUAAGCGUGACGAGGGGACCCCAAGUGUGCUAGUAAAACUAGUACUUUUACGGAGUGUAAAAAGCUUCGAGAAUAAGGUCUGGGUAAGACUGGUGCCAGCCUCCGCGGUAACACCAGCAGAUCAAGUGGUAACCACGCUUAUUGGGCUUAAAGCGUCCGUAGUCGGUUAUACAAGUCUUCUGUGAAAUCCUGCGGCUUAACCGUAGGGCUCGCAAGAGAUACUAUAUGACUAGAGGCCGGGAGAGGUGUAGGGUAUUCUGGGGGUAGCGGUGAAAUGCUAUAAUCCCCGGAGGACCACCAGUAGCGAAGGCGCUACACUGGAACGGGCCUGACGAUGAGGGACGAGAGCUAGGGGAGCGAACCGGAUUAGAUACCCGGGUAGUCCUAGCUGUAAACGACGCGGACUGAGUGUUUCCUGAACCUCGAGUUCAGGAAGUGCUGAAGGGAAACCGUUAAGUCCGCCGCCUGGGGAGUACGGUCGCAAGGCUGAAACUUAAAGGAAUUGGCGGGGGAGCACCACAAGGGGUGGAUGCUGCGGUUCAAUUGGAUACAACCCCGGACAACUUACCAGGUGCGACGGCAGAAUGAAAGCCAGGCUGAAGGUCUUGCUGGACGAGCCGAGAGGUAGUGCAUGGCCGUCGUCAGCUCGUACCGUGAGGCGUACGGUUAAGUCCGUUAACGAGCGAGACCCGUGUCCUUAUUUGCUAAUCUCAGGGAGACCUGGGGGUGCACUAUAAGGGGACCGCUGGUGAUGAAUCAGAGGAAGGCGCGGGCGACGGUAGGUCUGUAUGCUCCGAGUCUCCUGGGCUACACGCGGCAUACAAUGGCAUAGACAACGGGUUGCGACACCGAAAGGUGAAGCUAAUCCCUAAACUAUGUCCCAGUUCAGAUCGAGGGUUGCAACCCACCCUCGUGAAGGUGAAAUCCCUAGUAAUCGCUUUUUACCAUAAAGCGGUGAAUAUGUCCCUGCUCCUUGCACACACCGCCCGUCACACCAACUGAGUGGAUUGAAGGUGAAGCACUCUCAUAAGGGAAUGUUGAAUCUCUGGUCCGCGAGGGGGGUGAAGUCGUAACAAGGUA
RNAcentral lists this ribosomal RNA (1451 nucleotides) under metagenome. RNAcentral's name for it is "bacterial SSU rRNA". It matches the Rfam family "Archaeal small subunit ribosomal RNA". The record is from RNAcentral.